GUGGGGAAUCUUAGACAAUGGGGGAAACCCUGAUCUAGCCAUGCCGCGUGAUCGAUGAAGGCCUUAGGGUUGUAAAGAUCUUUCAGCUGGGAAGAUAAUGACGGUACCAGCAGAAGAAGCCCCGGCUAACUCCGUGCCAGCAGCCGCGGUAAUACGGAGGGGGCUAGCGUUGUUCGGAAUUACUGGGCGUAAAGCGCACGUAGGCGGAUUGGAAAGUUGGGGGUGAAAUCCCGGGGCUCAACCCCGGAACUGCCUUCAAAACUCCCAGUCUUGAGGUCGAGAGAGGUGAGUGGAAUUCCGAGUGUAGAGGUGAAAUUCGUAGAUAUUCGGAGGAACACCAGUGGCGAAGGCGGCUCACUGGCUCGAUACUGACGCUGAGGUGCGAAAGCGUGGGGAGCAAACAGGAUUAGAAACCCGAGUAGUCC
This 425-nucleotide ribosomal RNA is filed under the name uncultured bacterium. RNAcentral describes it as "partial 16S ribosomal RNA". It matches the Rfam family "Bacterial small subunit ribosomal RNA", at positions 354 to 796 of the family's 1533-position model. The record is from RNAcentral.